This 168-nucleotide ribosomal RNA is filed under the name uncultured rumen bacterium. RNAcentral's name for it is "partial 16S ribosomal RNA". It matches the Rfam family "Bacterial small subunit ribosomal RNA", at positions 340 to 524 of the family's 1533-position model. The record is from RNAcentral.
UACGGGAGGCAGCAGUGGGGGAUAUUGCGCAAUGGGGGCAACCCUGACGCAGCAACGCCGCGUGAAGGAUGAAGGUUUUCGGAUUGUAAACUUCUUUUAUCAGGGACGAACUUUGACGGUACCUGAUGAAUAAGCUCCGGCUAACUACGUGCCAGCAGCCGCGGUAAU